Molecule: ribosomal RNA, 425 nt
Filed under: uncultured bacterium
Lineage: Bacteria
Description: partial 16S ribosomal RNA
Rfam family: Bacterial small subunit ribosomal RNA
Source: RNAcentral
GUGGGGAAUCUUAGACAAUGGGGGAAACCCUGAUCUAGCCAUGCCGCGUGAGCGAUGAAGGCCUUAGGGUUGUAAAGCUCUUUCAGAUGGGAAGAUAAUGACGGUACCAUCAGAAGAAGCCCCGGCUAACUCCGUGCCAGCAGCCGCGGUAAUACGGAGGGGGCUAGCGUUGUUCGGAAUUACUGGGCGUAAAGCGCACGUAGGCGGACCAGAAAGUCAGAGGUGAAAUCCCAGGGCUCAACCUUGGAACUGCCUUUGAAACUCCUGGUCUUGAGGUCGAGAGAGGUGAGUGGAAUUCCGAGUGUAGAGGUGAAAUUCGUAGAUAUUCGGAGGAACACCAGUGGCGAUGGCGGCUCACUGGCUCGAUACUGACGCUGAGGUGCGAAAGCGUGGGGAGCAAACAGGAUUAGAUACCCCGGUAGUCC